GCGAGCUGGUGAACGAUUACUGCUACGGCAGAGGAAACUCCUCCCUCCUUGCAGCAAGCGUGAUCUGGAGACGGAUAGUCAGAGAUGAUUGGCAAUGGCACAGAAAAUAAUCCAAUCUGGAGCACUAUGAUGGUAAAACCUGAGAUUUCCAGAAUGCGAAUGAAAAAUCCACCCCACGCGGAGAAAGGCCAAAUCAAACAAUAAGUGCUGCACUUUGUUUAGGUAGGCCGCAUAGCGAAAUGUCGUGAAAACAGAAGGAGGGUUACGGCCAGAACGC
RNAcentral lists this RNase P RNA (277 nucleotides) under Nitrososphaerota archaeon. Its description in RNAcentral is "Thaumarchaeota archaeon RNase P RNA component". It matches the Rfam family "Archaeal RNase P". Rfam says of the family: Ribonuclease P (RNase P) is a ubiquitous endoribonuclease, found in archaea, bacteria and eukarya as well as chloroplasts and mitochondria. The record is from RNAcentral. Lineage: Archaea; Thermoproteati; Nitrososphaerota.